RNAcentral lists this ribosomal RNA (398 nucleotides) under uncultured Rubrobacteraceae bacterium. RNAcentral's name for it is "bacterial SSU rRNA". It matches the Rfam family "Bacterial small subunit ribosomal RNA", at positions 932 to 1331 of the family's 1533-position model. The record is from RNAcentral. Lineage: Bacteria; Bacillati; Actinomycetota; Rubrobacteria; Rubrobacterales; Rubrobacteraceae.
AGCGGAGCAUGUUCUGUAAUUCGAUGCAACGCGAAGAACCUUACCUGGGCUUGACAUGGUGCUGCAAGCGCACGGAAACGUGUGACCUUCGAGGGUGCACCACAGAUGCUGCAUGGCUGUCGUCAGCUCGUGUCGUGAGAUGUUGGGUUAAGUCCCGCAACGAGCGCAACCCCCGUGGUGUGUUGCCAGCGUUAAGUUGGGGACUCACACCAGACUGCCGGUGACAAACCGGAGGAAGGUGGGGAUGACGUCAAGUCAUCAUGGCUCUUACGCCCAGGGGUAGAAACGUGCUACAAUGGCGCAUACAAUGGGUUGCAAGACCGCGAGGUGGAGCGAAUCUCAUCAAAGUGCGUCUAAGUUCGGAUCGCAGUCUGCAACUCGACUGCGUGAAGGCGGAG